CCCUUAGAUGUUCUGGGCCGCACGCGCGCUACACUGACGAUGGCAACGAGUUUUUCCUUCGCCGAAAGGUGUGGGUAAUCUUUUGAAACAUCGUCGUGCGGGGGAUAGAUCAUUGCAAUUUUUGAUCUUGAACGAGGAAUUCCUAGUAAGCGCGAGUCAUCAGCUCGCGUUGAUUACGUCCCUGCCCUUUGUACACACCGCCCGUCGCUACUACCGAUUGAAUGGUUUAGUGAGGACUCCUGAUUGGCGCCGCCGCCCCGGCAACGGAGCAGCGGACUGCCGAAAAGUUGUUCAAACUUGAUCAUUUAGAGGAAGUAAAAGUCGUAACA
This 329-nucleotide ribosomal RNA is filed under the name uncultured eukaryote. RNAcentral's name for it is "partial 18S ribosomal RNA". It matches the Rfam family "Eukaryotic small subunit ribosomal RNA", at positions 1470 to 1796 of the family's 1831-position model. The record is from RNAcentral.